RNAcentral lists this ribosomal RNA (405 nucleotides) under uncultured bacterium. RNAcentral describes it as "partial 16S ribosomal RNA". It matches the Rfam family "Bacterial small subunit ribosomal RNA", at positions 28 to 526 of the family's 1533-position model. The record is from RNAcentral.
GACGAACGCUGGCGGCGUGCUUAACACAUGCAAGUCGAGCGGAGCGGCGAACGGGUGAGUAACGCGCGAGUAACUGCCCCCCUCUCUGGGUUAACAGUUGGAAACGGUUGCUAAUACCGGCUAGUGGGGGAUGACUCGCGGCCUAUCAGCUGGUUGGGGGGGUAGUGGCCUACAAAGGCGCCGACGGGUAGCCGGCCUGAUAGGGCGACCGGCCACAUUGGGCUGAGAUACGGCCCAAACUCCUACGGGAGGCAGCAGUGGUGAAUAUUGCACAAGGGGGGAAACCCUGAUGCAGCAACGUCGCGUGCGGGAUGACGGCCUUCGGGUUGUAAACCGCUUUCAGCCAUGACGCGGUAAUGGCAGAAGAAGCACCGGCUAACUUCGUGCCAGCAGCCGCGGUAAUUC